AACGAACGCUGGCGGCAGGCUUAACACAUGCAAGUCGAACGGUUGUAGCAAUACAGCAGUGGCGCACGGGUGAGUAACGCGUGGAUAUCUGCCUUUUGGUUCGGAAUAACUCCGGGAAACUGGAGCUAAUACCGGAUGGUUCCUACGGGAUAAAGAUUUAUCGCCAAAAGAUGAGUCCGCGUACGAUUAGCUAGUUGGCGGGGUAAUGGCCCACCAAGGCGACGAUCGUUAGCUGGUCUGAGAGGACGAUCAGCCACACUGGGACUGAGACACGGCCCAGACUCCUACGGGAGGCAGCAGUGGGGAAUAUUGGACAAUGGGGGCAACCCUGAUCCAGCCAUGCCGCGUGAGUGAUGAAGGCCUUCGGGUUGUAAAGCUCUUUUGGCGGGGACGAUGAUGACGGUACCCGCAGAAUAAGCCCCGGCUAACUUCGUGCCAGCCGCCGCGGUAA
This 451-nucleotide ribosomal RNA is filed under the name uncultured bacterium. Its description in RNAcentral is "partial 16S ribosomal RNA". It matches the Rfam family "Bacterial small subunit ribosomal RNA", at positions 29 to 523 of the family's 1533-position model. The record is from RNAcentral.